GGAGUUUGAUCCUGGCUCACAGCGAACGCUGGCGGCGUGCUUAACACAUGCAAGUCGAACGCGCAGCAUUCUGUACCAAUACAGGGUGUGGGCGCGUGGCGAACGGGUGCGUAACACGUGGAUAACCUUCCUUGAGGUGGGGAAUAACCCAGUGAAAACUGGGCUAAUACCGCAUAACAUGACGAUGGCAAUGCUGUUGUCUUCAAAGGCGCAAGUCGCCACUAGAGGGAUCCGCGGCCGAUUAGCUUGUUGGCGAGGUAAUGGCUCACCAAGGCAAUGAUCGGUAGCCGGACUGAGAGGUUGGCCGGCCACACUGGAACUGAGACACGGUCCAGACUCCUACGGGAGGCAGCAGUGGGGAAUCUUGCACAAUGGACGAAAGUCUGAUGCAACAACGCCGCGUGGGGGAUGAAGCUUCUCGGAGUGUAAACCCCUUUCGACCCGGAAGAAUGCCCGCAAGGGUUUGACGGUACGGGUAUAAGAAGCCCCGGCUAACUACGUGCCAGCAGCCGCGGUAAUACGUAGGGUGCCAGCGUUGCUCGGAAUUACUGGGCGUAAAGGGUCUGUAGGCGGUGCGGCGAGUCGAUAGUGAAAUCCCUAGGCUUAACCUAGGGGCUGCUAGCGAAACUGCCGUGCUAGAGUGUGAGAGAGGCGAGUGGAAUUACUGGUGUAGCGGUGAAAUGCGUAGAUAUCCGUAUGAACAUCCGAGCGAAAGCGGCUCGAUGGAUCACAACUCACGCUGAGAGACGAAAGCUAGGGGAGCAAGAGGAUUAGAUACCCUGUAGUCUAGCCUUAAUCAUCAGACUUGAGUUUGCCCUGUACCGGCAAGUCCCGUAGCUACGCGUUAAUUCCUGCGCUUGUGGAGUACGUCGCAGGUGUAACUCAUG
This 887-nucleotide ribosomal RNA is filed under the name uncultured soil bacterium. RNAcentral's name for it is "bacterial SSU rRNA". It matches the Rfam family "Bacterial small subunit ribosomal RNA", at positions 9 to 905 of the family's 1533-position model. The record is from RNAcentral.